This is a non-coding RNA of Elaeis guineensis (African oil palm), 876 nucleotides long. The record is from RefSeq and is a predicted model, not a curated record. NCBI's taxonomy places the organism in Eukaryota, Viridiplantae, Streptophyta, Magnoliopsida, Arecales, Arecaceae.
GUUGGAUCGUGGCAAAUUUGGCAUAAUAUUACCGUUGCAGCGAAGUUUUUCUCGGAUGAAGAGAUGAUGCUAGUAGAUUGCACACGUCCUUUAUGUCGUGACCGAGCACAGCCUGGGUCUCAGUCGUGGCAAAAGAACCAUACAAACUUAUCUCACUUGCAAAAGAACCAUACAAAGUUAUCUCACUUGCGCCCCUGCGCGGGUUCUGGGGCGGUACCGCUGCAUGUCCCGUGUAACCUAGUAAUUUAGUACCGUUGCCGCCACCAAGUAAUGUAGUCUUUGGACAGCAUGUCAACUAAUAAGACACUCUCCGGUCCCACCAUCGAUCGCUACCGAGCGCCAGUCUGUGACGACGUACGAAUCCGUCGUCUCCCAGCGUUCCAUCGUUAAUGGAGAAGAAACCCUGAUCCUAACCCAAACCCUAGUCCUAGGGGAAAGAGUAGAGGGCUUCUCGAUGCCGAGCGAAGGGCGGAGGAGGAGAGGAGAGAUCCGAGGAGCGGAAUAAGAGGACGAAGGAAAGGUGAUGGGGGCUCCGAAGCAGAAGUGGACGCCGGAAGAGGAGGAGGCUCUGAGGGCUGGAGUCGACAAGCACGGCGCCGGCAAGUGGCGGACCAUCCAGAAGGAUCCUGAGUUCAGCCACUGCCUCUCCACUCGCUCCAACAUUGAUCUCAAGGUCGCUGAAGAUUUGGCGUCUUGCAGAAUAAAAAAUUCCAUAUUUGGACCGCAGAAUUCUAGAAAAAUCAAGAAAGAAUAUUAUUUUGUUUGCGUUCUUGUUUGGAACUCUAGCCUUUAAAACAAUGUCGGUGCUGAUAGUGUGUACUACUGUAACAUCCCGGCCCAGGACCAAGCCCAAAAUCCAAAAAAAAAAAAAAAAAA